This 579-nucleotide ribosomal RNA is filed under the name uncultured bacterium. RNAcentral describes it as "bacterial SSU rRNA". It matches the Rfam family "Bacterial small subunit ribosomal RNA", at positions 102 to 694 of the family's 1533-position model. The record is from RNAcentral.
ACGGGUGAGUAACACGUGAGUAACCUGCCCUUGACUCUGGGAUAAGCCUGGGAAACUGGGUCUAAUACCGGAUACGACCAUUCCACGCAUGUGGUGGUGGUGGAAAGCUUUUGUGGUUUUGGAUGGACUCGCGGCCUAUCAGCUUGUUGGUGGGGUAAUGGCCUACCAAGGCGACGACGGGUAGCCGGCCUGAGAGGGUGACCGGCCACACUGGGACUGAGACACGGCCCAGACUCCUACGGGAGGCAGCAGUGGGGAAUAUUGCACAAUGGGCGCAAGCCUGAUGCAGCGACGCCGCGUGAGGGAUGACGGCCUUCGGGUUGUAAACCUCUUUCAGUAGGGAAGAAGCGAAAGUGACGGUACCUGCAGAAGAAGCGCCGGCCAACUACGUGCCAGCAGCCGCGGUAAUACGUAGGGCGCAAGCGUUAUCCGGAAUUAUUGGGCGUAAAGAGCUCGUAGGCGGUUUGUCGCGUCUGCUGUGAAAGACCGGGGCUCAACUCCGGUUCUGCAGUGGGUACGGGCAGACUAGAGUGCAGUAGGGGAGACUGGAAUUCCUGGUGUAGCGGUGAAAUGCGCAGA